This 76-nucleotide transfer RNA is filed under the name Nitrospinae bacterium CG11_big_fil_rev_8_21_14_0_20_45_15. Its description in RNAcentral is "tRNA-Lys". It matches the Rfam family "tRNA". From Rfam's summary of the family: Transfer RNA (tRNA) molecules are approximately 80 nucleotides in length. Their secondary structure includes four short double-helical elements and three loops (D, anti-codon, and T loops). Further hydrogen bonds mediate the characteristic L-shaped molecular structure. tRNAs have two regions of fundamental functional importance: the anti-codon, which is responsible for specific mRNA codon recognition, and the 3' end, to which the tRNAs corresponding amino acid is attached (by aminoacyl-tRNA synthetases). tRNAs cope with the degeneracy of the genetic code in two manners: having more than one tRNA (with a specific anti-codon) for a particular amino acid; and 'wobble' base-pairing, i.e. permitting non-standard base-pairing at the 3rd anti-codon position. The record is from RNAcentral. Lineage: Bacteria; Pseudomonadati; Nitrospinota.
GGGCCGUUAGCUCAAUAGGUAGAGCAACUGACUCUUAAUCAGUAGGUCCUCGGUUCGAUCCCGAGACGGCCCACCA